Molecule: long non-coding RNA, 354 nt
Filed under: Lathyrus oleraceus (garden pea)
Lineage: Eukaryota; Viridiplantae; Streptophyta; Magnoliopsida; Fabales; Fabaceae
Description: Pisum sativum (pea) long non-coding RNA (PSAT_LNC020821)
Source: RNAcentral
GUCUCUAGUUAGGAGAGUGUUUUACCCCUGUUAAGGGGAACUACGUCGCCCUGAUUCUCAUACCAGAUGAGAUACGUAGGCAGGAGGUUGCGAGCAAUCUCUCCGGGCACCCUUUUUCUUUUUUGUUGUGUUGUCUUGUGUGUGUCCACCCUCUUCUUUGUUUUGGUGUGAGUAUUUGUUUGUUCAGCGUGGACAUGUGUGGUAUGUUUAUACCUUGGGGGAUUUCUUCUGUUAUUCAUUUGGGGUUCAUCUUCGGGGUUAUGAGUAUUUGUUUGUUCAGCGUGGACAUGUGUGGUAUGUUUAUACCUUGGGGGAUUUCUUCUGUUAUUCAUUUGGGGUUCAUCUUCGGGGUUC